CCGCAUGCGGGUGCUGCCAUCUCGUGCCCGGGCCGGGAAUGCGCCGGGCCGGCGGCCGCCAAUCGCCGCCGAACCCCGGCCGAGCGCGGUGCCCGGGCAGCGGCCGAUGCUCCUGGACACUUUCCCCGAUUCGUCCCGCGGCCCCUCCGACAGCGGGGCCGCCUCCCCGAGGGAAUCCCGGCCGGGAAAGCGGCGCCGCGCCCGGGAUCCCUCACAGGCAGCGCUCGCUCCCCCCUCGCGGGGCUCCGGGAGCGCACCCGGCAAGGGGAAAAGCUCUCCCUCUUCUAAUCUGGUUUGUUUGUGGACACGUGGCCGUGGUUUAUUUGUGCGUUGGAUUGACACGCUCUCAGACACUGCGGAGCUGAUAGGCAAAAAAAUCCAGUGGAAGGUCAAAGAUGAUGAUUUUGGAGAAGAGGAAUCACCUGCGAGAGACCCAGGAGCAGCUGGACACAGAAUAUCCACAGAAUGGACUGCAGUGACAGAGAUGGAAGCCAUUGGGAUGUAUUUUCAACAGCUGUUGACAGAAAAUAUUCAGUCAUGAGGUUAGCUGAGUUUUAAGCACCAGACUUGGGAACUGUUGCAACCCAAAAGCAAUGCUUACCAGCCAUUUUUAUUUCAUUGGUGAGGAGGCUUCAGGUUUAAAGCACUACAGGAAGCUCAGCCUGUCCCUUUAAAUACACCAAAAACACAAUGGCUCAGAUGGCAGAAGAUAGGCAUAGAGUUUAGGAUAUCCACAUCUCUUGCAAAGAAAGGUCUUGGGAAAAUGGAUCAAAAACUUAUUUGUCUGGACAUGAGGACCAGAAAUAACACAGUAAGCAAAUUGUGGCCUGACUCUGAACACUGCAAGAAAUCUUCUAGGGUUCCUUGAAGGUCAACGAUAUCUUGAUCUCAGGUU
This is an RNA transcript of Vidua macroura (Pin-tailed whydah), 895 nucleotides long. RefSeq lists it as uncharacterized. NCBI's taxonomy places the organism in Eukaryota, Metazoa, Chordata, Aves, Passeriformes, Viduidae. The transcript has 5 exons. The record is from RefSeq and is a predicted model, not a curated record.